This 154-nucleotide ribosomal RNA is filed under the name Orbilia javanica. RNAcentral describes it as "Arthrobotrys javanica 5.8S ribosomal RNA". It matches the Rfam family "5.8S ribosomal RNA". From Rfam's summary of the family: 5.8S ribosomal RNA (5.8S rRNA) is a component of the large subunit of the eukaryotic ribosome. It is transcribed by RNA polymerase I as part of the 45S precursor that also contains 18S and 28S rRNA. Functionally, it is thought that 5.8S rRNA may be involved in ribosome translocation. The record is from RNAcentral. Lineage: Eukaryota; Fungi; Ascomycota; Orbiliomycetes; Orbiliales; Orbiliaceae.
AACUUUCAACAACGGAUCUCUUGGUUCCCGCAUCGAUGAAGAACGCAGCGAAACGCGAUAGUUAAUGUGAAUUGCAGAAUUCAGUGAAUCAUCGAGUCUUUGAACGCACAUUGCGCCCAUUGGUAUUCCUUUGGGCAUGUCUGUUUGAGCGUCA